UGCGCCCGCUAGUACUCUAGCGGGCAUGCCUGUUCGAGCGUCAUUUCAACCCUCAAGCUCCGCUUGGUGUUGGGGCCCUACGGCUGCCGUAGGCCCUGAAAGGAAGUGGCGGGCUCGCUGCAACUCCGAGCGUAGUAGAAUCCUAUCUCGCUAGGGAGGCGCCGCGCGCUCCUGCCGUUAAAGACCCCAUCUUUAACCAAAGGUUGACCUCGGAUCAGGUAGGAAUACCCGCUGAACUUAAGCAUAUCAAUAAGCGGAGGAAAAGAAACCAACAGGGAUUGCCCCAGUAACGGCGAGUGAAGCGGCAACAGCUCAAAUUUGAAAUCUGGCUCCGGCCCGAGUUGUAAUUUGUAGAGGAUGCUUUCGGUGAGGUGCCUUCUGAGUUCCCUGGAACGGGACGCCAGAGAGGGUGAGAGCCCCGUAUAGUCGGCCACCGAUCCUUUGUAAAGCUCCUUCGACGAGUCGAGUAGUUUGGGAAUGCUGCUCUAAAUGGGAGGUAUAUCUCUUCUAAAGCUAAAUAUAGGCCAGAGACCGAUAGCGCACAAGUAGAGUGAUCGAAAGAUGAAAAGCACUUUGAAAAGAGGGUUAAAUAGCACGUGAAAUUGUUGAAAGGGAAGCGCUUGUGACCAGACUUGUGCCGGGCUGAUCAUCCAGUGUUCUCACUGGUGCACUCGACCCGGCUCAGGCCAGCGUCGGUUCUCGCAGGGGGACAAAAGCUUCGGGAACGUGGCUCCUCCGGG
Molecule: ribosomal RNA, 740 nt
Filed under: uncultured Coniochaetaceae
Lineage: Eukaryota; Fungi; Ascomycota; Sordariomycetes; Coniochaetales
Description: eukaryotic LSU rRNA
Rfam family: Eukaryotic large subunit ribosomal RNA (bases 205-740)
Source: RNAcentral